RNAcentral lists this ribosomal RNA (458 nucleotides) under uncultured bacterium. RNAcentral's name for it is "partial 16S ribosomal RNA". It matches the Rfam family "Bacterial small subunit ribosomal RNA", at positions 28 to 523 of the family's 1533-position model. The record is from RNAcentral.
GAUGAACGCUGGCGGCGUGCCUAAUACAUGCAAGUCGAGCGGUAAGGCCCUUCGGGGUACACGAGCGGCGGACGGCAGAGUAACACGUAGGAACGUACCCCAAAGUGAGGGAUAGCCCACCGAAAGGUGGAUUAAUACCGCAUGUGGUCUUCGGAUUAAAGCAGCAAUGCGCUUUGGGAACGGCCUGCGUAAGAUUAGCUAGUUGGUGAGGUAACGGCCCACCAAGGCGACGAUCUUUAGCUGGUCUGAGAGGAUGAUCAGCCUGACUGGACUGAGACACGGCCCAGACUCCUACGGGAGGCAGCAGUAGGGAAUUUUCCACAAUGGGCGAAAGCCUGAUGGAGCAACGCCGCGUGCAGGAUGAAGGCCUUCGGGUUGUAAACUGCUUUUGUCUGAGAAGAAUAUGACGGUAACAGACGAAUAAGGGUCUGCUAACUACGUGCCAGCCGCCGCUGUAA